Molecule: transfer RNA, 61 nt
Filed under: Globicatella sulfidifaciens
Lineage: Bacteria; Bacillati; Bacillota; Bacilli; Lactobacillales; Aerococcaceae
Rfam family: tRNA
About the family: Transfer RNA (tRNA) molecules are approximately 80 nucleotides in length. Their secondary structure includes four short double-helical elements and three loops (D, anti-codon, and T loops). Further hydrogen bonds mediate the characteristic L-shaped molecular structure. tRNAs have two regions of fundamental functional importance: the anti-codon, which is responsible for specific mRNA codon recognition, and the 3' end, to which the tRNAs corresponding amino acid is attached (by aminoacyl-tRNA synthetases). tRNAs cope with the degeneracy of the genetic code in two manners: having more than one tRNA (with a specific anti-codon) for a particular amino acid; and 'wobble' base-pairing, i.e. permitting non-standard base-pairing at the 3rd anti-codon position.
Source: RNAcentral
UUGUAGCUCAGCUGGAUAGAGCAUUCGCCUUCUAAGCGAACGGUCGCAGGUUCGAAUCCUG